UCAGGAUGAACGCUAGCGGCAGGCUUAACACAUGCAAGUCGAGGGGCAUCGGGAGUAGCAAUACUGCCGGCGACCGGCGCAAGGGUGCGUAACGCGUGAGCAACAUGCCCGUAUCAGGGGGAUAAUCCAUGGAAACGUGGUCUAAUACCCCAUAGUAAUUAUGUAAGGCAUCUUAUAUAAUUUAAAGCUUUGGUGGAUACGGAUUGGCUCGCGUGACAUUAGCUAGAUGGUAAGGUAACGGCUUACCAUGGCUACGAUGUCUAGGGGUUCUGAGAGGAAGGUCCCCCACACUGGAACUGAGACACGGUCCAGACUCCUACGGGAGGUAGCAGUGAGGAAUAUUGGACAAUGGAUGGAAAUCUGAUCCAGCCAUGCCGCGUGCAAGGAAGACGGCCCUAUGGGUUGUAAACUGCUUUUGUAUGGGAGCAAUAAGGGCUACGUGUAGUCCGAUGAGAGUACCAUACGAAUAAGCACCGGCUAACUCCGUGCCAGCCGCGGC
This 499-nucleotide ribosomal RNA is filed under the name uncultured bacterium. RNAcentral's name for it is "bacterial SSU rRNA". It matches the Rfam family "Bacterial small subunit ribosomal RNA", at positions 24 to 518 of the family's 1533-position model. The record is from RNAcentral.